GGGGGCGUAGCUCAGUUGGGAGAGCACCUGCUUUGCACGCAGGGGGUCAGGAGUUCGAAUCUCCUCGUCUCCACCA
Molecule: transfer RNA, 76 nt
Filed under: Alteromonadaceae bacterium
Lineage: Bacteria; Pseudomonadati; Pseudomonadota; Gammaproteobacteria; Alteromonadales; Alteromonadaceae
Description: tRNA-Ala
Rfam family: tRNA
About the family: Transfer RNA (tRNA) molecules are approximately 80 nucleotides in length.
Source: RNAcentral